This 253-nucleotide ribosomal RNA is filed under the name uncultured bacterium. Its description in RNAcentral is "partial 16S ribosomal RNA". It matches the Rfam family "Bacterial small subunit ribosomal RNA", at positions 524 to 776 of the family's 1533-position model. The record is from RNAcentral.
UACGUAGGUGACAAGCGUUGUCCGGAUUUACUGGGCGUAAAGAGCGCGCAGGCGGUCGAUCAAGUCGAGUGUGAAAGCCCCCGGCUCAACUGGGGAGGGUCAUUCGAUACUGAUCGACUCGAAGGCAGGAGAGGGUAGUGGAAUUCCCGGUGUAGUGGUGAAAUGCGUAGAUAUCGGGAGGAACACCAGUGGCGAAGGCGACUACCUGGCCUGUUCUUGACGCUGAGGCGCGAAGGUCAGGGGAGCAAACGGG